GGCCAGGCCGGCCCACAUGUACAACUAUACCACACACCAAGAGCCACAGGCCAGAGGCCACGCGGCCACGCCGUCCUCUUCACCCCAGGGUUGCCGACGCGGCGACUCCGAUCACCCACCACCGCUGCCCCCUGUCCUCCCUGCUGCCGCCUGUGCCGGGGCUAGCCCGCCGCGGAGCCAUGUCGCGGUCCUUGAGCAUGAGAGGGAGCAUGAGGGCGCGCCGCGACCUGCCUCCUCCUGAGAAGACAAUUGAAAGGCUUGAGAGUAUGGUGGAUGGAGGAAAUUUCUAUGAAGCUCAACAAAUGUACAAGUCAACCAGUGCAAGGUAUAUUGCUGCUCAGAAGUAUUCAGAAGCCUUGGACAUCCUUCAGUCAGGCGCUUUGGUUCAAUUGAAGCAUGGACAGGUUACCUGUGGUGGUGAACUUGCUGUCCUCUUUGUUGACACCCUCAUCACAGGAGAGCUUCCAUAUAGUGAACAAAUUUUUGAUCGUAUCAGAAAGAUGUAUGAGGCAUUCCCAAGGGUAACUGUUCCACAUUUCCUUGGAGAUGACUAUGAUGAUGAGGGGCAUCAAUUAUCUGAAGCUAUUUCUGCUGCCAAAGUGCGGGCAGAGAGUUGCUCAUCAUUCAUGAAAGCUGCAAUCAGGUGGUCUGCUGAGUUUGGAACAUCAAGAAAUGGUUCUUCUGAGCUUCACGUUAUGUUAGCAGAAUACAUAUAUUCGGAAUCUCCAGAGACGGACAUGACUAAAGUCUCAAGUCAUUUUGUUCGUGGAAAUGAUCCAAAAAAGUUCGCUUCUAUGCUGGUGAACUUUAUGGGCAAGUGUUACCCUGGUGAAGAUGAUACUGCAAUUGCACGUGGGGUCCUAAUGUACCUAUCUCAAGGGAACUUGAGAGAUGCAAAUUUACUUAUGGAUGAGAUGAACGAACAACUAAAAUCUGCUAACUCGGAAUUUCCGAAAACAGAUUUGAUUCAGUUCAUCAAGUAUCUUUUACCAACUUACUGGAUGAAAUAGCUGCAAAAUUUUACAAUAUACAACGCCAGAACCCUUUAGAAGGCCUUUUCAGCGAAAUGUUCAAGAUAUAAUGCACGAGAAAAGAAUUUUAUGUCGAUGCUUUCAUCUAAACCAUUGGCUGGAAUAAUACAAUUGGUCAACAAAGGUGUUUGCUCAACUAUGAAUCUCCAAGGCCAUACAUUUAGCAUCAUGCUGCAUGAAGAUAUAUACUUAGCUCUGCAGCAAAAUCGUCGAUUAGUGUCAGAUUGUUACUGAGCAUGUGUAACUGAAUUUUGUUUUCUAUUACUUGUUUCUCUUUGUUGACUUGCCCUUGAUUGUUAUUGACCAUGCAUAACUGAAUUUUGUUUUCUUUUACUUGUUUCUCCUUGUCCUGUUCACUUUUGGAGAUGUAUUUUGUGUACCCACAGAUCAAAACUAUAACCUAUUUAAAUUCAUUGAUUUUAAUAUAUGGUGUUAUCAGUAAAGUU
RNA transcript from Zea mays, 1477 nucleotides. RefSeq lists it as uncharacterized. The record is from RefSeq and is marked predicted. Lineage: Eukaryota; Viridiplantae; Streptophyta; Magnoliopsida; Poales; Poaceae. The transcript is spliced from 11 exons.